Molecule: transfer RNA, 69 nt
Filed under: Aedes aegypti (yellow fever mosquito)
Lineage: Eukaryota; Metazoa; Arthropoda; Insecta; Diptera; Culicidae
Rfam family: tRNA
About the family: Transfer RNA (tRNA) molecules are approximately 80 nucleotides in length.
Source: Rfam by way of RNAcentral
GGGUCUGUAGCCUAGAGGUUACGCUUUCGCUUCAUAUGCGAAAGGUCAUGGGUUCAAUUCCCAGCCCCU